RNAcentral lists this ribosomal RNA (487 nucleotides) under uncultured bacterium. RNAcentral describes it as "bacterial SSU rRNA". It matches the Rfam family "Bacterial small subunit ribosomal RNA", at positions 28 to 514 of the family's 1533-position model. The record is from RNAcentral.
GAUGAACGCUAGCGGCAGGCUUAACACAUGCAAGUCGAGGGGUAUUGGUUUUCGGACCAAGAGACCGGCGCACGGGUGCGUAACGCGUAUGCAAUCUACCUUUUGCAGAGGGAUAGCCCCAGAGAAAUUUGGAUUAAUACCUCAUAGUAUAGUACUUUGGCAUCAAGGAACUAUUAAAGUCACAACGGCAAAAGAUGAGCAUGCGUCCCAUUAGCUAGUUGGUAAGGUAACGGCUUACCAAGGCUACGAUGGGUAGGGGUCCUGAGAGGGAGAUCCCCCACACUGGUACUGAGACACGGACCAGACUCCUACGGGAGGCAGCAGUGAGGAAUAUUGGACAAUGGGCGCAAGCCUGAUCCAGCCAUGCCGCGUGCAGGAUGACGGUCCUAUGGAUUUGUAAACUGCUUUAUACAGGAAGAAACACUACUUCGUGAAGUAGCUUGACGGUACUGUAAGAAUAAGGNUCGGCUAAACUCCGUGCCAGCAG